CUGCGGAAGGAUCAUUGUCGAAUCCUCAACGAAAACCCGCGAACACGUUCGAAAAUCCGUGUCGGGCGUCCGGGUAAAACCGGCGCCCCUCGCCCCCCGCCCGGCCGAACGGCGCGCCGCAAUCGGCCGACGGUCGCGCCGGGCAACCGAAACCAUAAUCGGCGCGGGAAGCGCCAAGGACUUACGGAAUGGGAUGCCUUCCCGCGGAGAGGGCCGUUCGCGGAAUCCUCGCCCCGGGGCUCCAAGGGCGCCCGAAACGAAACGUCGCACGACUCUCGGCAACGGAUAUCUUGGCUCUCGCAUCGAUGAAGAACGUAGCAAACUGCGAUACUUGGUGUGAAUUGCAGAAUCCCGUGAACCAUCGAGUCUUUGAACGCAAGUUGCGCCCGAAGCCGUUAGGCCGAGGGCACGUCUGCCUGGGCGUCACGCAUCGCGUCGCCCCCCCCACUCCGCGGAGGGGAGGGGCGGAAGUUGGCUUCCCGCGCUCCGUCGCGGCCAGCUUAAAACAAGGUUCCCCCGCCGCGGACGUCGCGACGAGUGGUGGUCGUCGAGAUUGAACGCGAGUCGCCGGCGAGAGCCGCGUCGGGGAGAGCCCWCGGACCCUCCGGGCGAGAGUCCCUUCCUCCGGGGAGGGGAGAAUCUCGCCACGACCGCGACCCCCAGGUCAGGC
Molecule: unclassified non-coding RNA, 670 nt
Filed under: Ruehssia brasiliensis
Lineage: Eukaryota; Viridiplantae; Streptophyta; Magnoliopsida; Gentianales; Apocynaceae
Description: sequence contains 18S rRNA gene, ITS1, 5.8S rRNA gene, ITS2, 28S rRNA gene
Source: RNAcentral